Molecule: signal recognition particle RNA, 247 nt
Filed under: Desulfobacterales bacterium
Lineage: Bacteria; Pseudomonadati; Thermodesulfobacteriota; Desulfobacteria; Desulfobacterales
Description: signal recognition particle sRNA large type
Rfam family: Bacterial large signal recognition particle RNA
About the family: The signal recognition particle (SRP) is a universally conserved ribonucleoprotein involved in the co-translational targeting of proteins to membranes. Archaeal SRP consists of a 7S RNA and homologues of the eukaryotic SRP19 and SRP54 proteins.
Source: RNAcentral
UUGUGCUAGGCGGGGAGUCAGCGGUGCCCUGUACCCGAAAUCCGCUUAUGCGGGGCUGAAUUCCCACUCCAGGGUUUUGUUCCGAACGGGUGUCGACCAUCCGACCGGCCGCCGCGCAACAGGCGGUCACGAACCUCGUCAGGUCCGGGAGGAAGCAGCGAUAAGUGAUGCAGUCUGUGUCGUGGAUCGAUCCCGGUCAUAUCGAUGGCCUUCCUUUUCAGGAAGAAAUUCAAAAGUGGGUGCACAA